RNAcentral lists this ribosomal RNA (103 nucleotides) under Lilium philadelphicum. RNAcentral's name for it is "4.5S ribosomal RNA". Lineage: Eukaryota; Viridiplantae; Streptophyta; Magnoliopsida; Liliales; Liliaceae. The record is from RNAcentral. RNAcentral also lists the same sequence under 1 other name.
GUCACGGCGAGACGAGCCGUUUAUCAUUACGAUAGGUGUCAAGUGGAAGUGCAGUGAUGUAUGCAGCUGAGGCAUCCUAACAGACCGAGAGAUUUGAACCUUG